Molecule: unclassified non-coding RNA, 297 nt
Filed under: plant metagenome
Description: partial contains 5.8S ribosomal RNA, internal transcribed spacer 2, and large subunit ribosomal RNA
Rfam family: 5.8S ribosomal RNA (bases 1-104)
Source: RNAcentral
GAAAUGCGAUAAGAAUGUGAAUUGCAGAAUUCAGUGAAUCAUCGAAUCUUUGAACGCACAUUGCGCCCCCUGGUAUUCCGGGGGGCAUGCCUGUUCGAGCGUCAUUUCACCACUCAAGCCUCGCUUGGUAUUGGGCAACGCGGUCCGCCGCGUGCCUCAAAUCGACCGGCUGGGUCUUCUGUCCCCUAAGCGUUGUGGAAACUAUUCGCUAAAGGGUGUUCGGGAGGCUACGCCGUAAAACAACCCCAUUUCUAAGGUUGACCUCGGAUCAGGUAGGGAUACCCGCUGAACUUAAGC